This 3751-nucleotide long non-coding RNA is filed under the name Sus scrofa (pig). RNAcentral's name for it is "lncRNA (ENSSSCG00035041644.1)". Lineage: Eukaryota; Metazoa; Chordata; Mammalia; Artiodactyla; Suidae. The record is from RNAcentral.
UUUUUUUUUUUAAUGGCAGUACCCUUAGCAUAUGGAAGUUCCUGGGCCACAUGCUGAAUCCAAGCCACAGCUGUGAUCUACACCAAAGCUGUGGCAACACUGGAUCCUUUAACCCACUCCACUGGUCCAGGGAUUGAACCUGUGUUUUUGCUGCACCCUCAGUCGCUGCAGUCGGAUUCUUAACCCACUGAGCCAAGCGGGAACUCCCAGUUUGGAUUCUUUGAAAACGUAAAAAUGGGUUUCUUCAGACAAAGACCUUCAGGGGAAUUCCCACCUCCCUUUUAAGUCUAUGAUCCAUGUGGCCGCGGGAAGAGAUUAUCUUAUAUUCUUAAGUCCAAAUUAAUAAAUGACUAGUGCCUAUUUAAAAUUAAAGCAUUUUGGCCUGUUGGCGGCCCUCCAUCUCCCUCAGCCUGACCCUGGAGGGAGCCCCCCUCCGCCCCAGGCUGUGUCUGUGAGCCGAGGCUCCUUUGGCGGAGCCAGGCUGGUUUGGCGCCUGCCUUGCGGAGGCUCGCUGGGAACCGCGCUCGCUCGGGCUGUCGCCUCCGCCUCUUCGGGGCUUGCUGCCCGCCCACCCCCACCUUAAAAGGGCAAUGCCAGGCGACGGGCCCCGCCCGGGGCAGGGGGUUGCAGGCGGGCCUCUGCUAGGCUCGCCAGCCGGGCGCGCGCUGCCCCCGCACGUGCUCCAGGGCGGAAGGUCCAGGCCUGCGCUAGCCUGCCCGGGCAGGCCUUGCAGAGCCACUUCUUUCUCGUCUACCCCGACCCUCCCCGAGAAGCAGAGCAGCUUCCCGUGGCCCGGUGCCGGCCACGUUUCCUUCCCACCCCACCGCACCGCACCCUCCCCCUCUCUCUCGCCCCUCCCCGGGAGGCCGUGCCUCCGCCACACCCCCUCCUCGGGUUUAAGAACUUGGGCUGGACAGUUUCACAUCAGAUGAUGGGAAAAUCGAGGGCUUAACGGCUGAAUUUGUGAACUUGGAGUUCGUCAGUUUAAUAAAUGUAGGCUUGAUUUCAGUUUCAAAUCUCUCCAAAUGACCUAAAUUGAAAAAGCUUGAGCUCAGUGAGAGUAAAAUCUAUGGAAGUCUGGAUAUGUUAGCAGAAAAACUUCCAUAUCUCACAUACCUGAAUUGAAGUGGAAAUAAACGGAAAGAUAUCAGCACCCUGCAACCUUUGAACAACUUGGACUGUCUGAAAAGCCUGGAUCUGUUUAACUGUGAGGUUACUAAGCUGAAUAAUUAUCGAGGGGGUGUCUUCAAGCAGAACCCACCUGGAUGGCUGUGAUACAGAGGAUCUUAAAGCCUCUGUCUCAGAUGCCAAGGUGGAUGGUAUGGAUGAAGAGGAGGAAGAUGAAGAAGGAGAAGAUGAAGGCAAGGAGGAGGAGGAUUGUAACGAAGAAGGGUUUGAUGAUGAAGAGGAUGAAGUCAGGGGGGAGGAAGAAGAAUUUGGACAGGAUGAAGAAGUUGAUGAAGACAGUGAGUAUGAAGAUGAGGAUGAAGAGGAGGAAGAAAUCAGGAAAGAUGAAAAGAAGAAAAGAGAAAUAGAAGAUGAAGAAGAUGAUUAAGACCCCGAAUAACCUACAAAAAAGAACAAAAAAGUAGCUGUGAUACAAAUUCCAGGACACCCACCCACCCAAAGAGCCAAAGAAUAGUUCCUAUGACAUUCUGCCUUCCUCCAUUUAGUCUGUCUUGGAAAGCCACCACCAAGACUUCACCCCAACAAAAUUGUUGGCAUUGUUAGGUUUUCAACAUUAAGGCUCUUGCUAUAGCGUGGAGAGCUGUGAUUGGUGAGUCAACCCUCUGUGGCUACCAGUUACACCAAGACCGUAACCAGCAUUUUUACUUUCUGUACAACAAAGAAGCUUUGUAAAUAAAAUCUUAACAUUUGGGGUGUGUUUUUUUUAUGCUUUUUUUUUAAUGAAAUUUUUUUACGUUAGAACAUUUUAUGUGACAACUGCCAAAAAAGUAUUUUUAAGAAUAAAAUAAAUGAAAUAAACUUUCCUCCUUGGUAAAAAAUAAAAUAAAAUUACAGUAUUUUAUUUUUAAUGAUCUGUGCCAAUACAAGUUUCGGAGUGGAGGAUAUAUAUUUUUACUACAAUUUUAUUGAUGAAUGGAGUUAGAGUUUUUACAAUACAUAAAUUGAAGGCAAAAUUGAAUUUACCCCAAAGAUAACUAAGCUUAAGCUUCAAGGGCCCUAAUUUUGAAAGAGCAAUAUCUGGUCACAUUUUCCUAAAGAGGAUCACAAAUUUGCAUUAUGUUUAAGCCCCAUAGAACUUGAGUCCACCAUUGACUGGGAUAGUUUGUUGGAAUUGCAUAAGUGUUUAAUAAUCCUAGUACUUUCUUUAAAAUACAUAUAUUUGGUCAUAUUAUUCUGCUAUUUUCUACAUCUUAGGUGUGAUAGACUAUUUUAUUUGCUCACAAUUUUUCAUUCCUCUCCACUUAAGCCAUGCUUCCUUGCAGUGCAACAUACUUCCUGUCCCUACUGAUUUUGGACUUGCUUUCAAUAAAAGAUGAGCAGACAAGAAGUAUGCUAUGUCCCCAGCAGAAAGUUACCCUGUCCUAGUGCAGUUUGGCUCUGUUUCUCAACUUCUGCCCUCCACUCAGUGUAUUGCAUGCGUUAAAGAACAAGUGUUGUUUCUACCUGGGUCUCAGAAUGAGAAGACACACAGAGCACAGCCAAGUUCAGCAUAAGCUCAGUUGACCUACAGUCCUUAUGUAAUGUUAGCAAGAAAUAAAUGUUUGUAGUUGCAUUGAGAUUUGGUCAUUAUUUGUCACUGUAGCAAAAGCCAGAGUGAUUGUCAUUCUGCCUACUUUUUCAUUUUACCAUAUGUUAUCUAUCAUCUCUCUAUCUAUCCAUCCAUCCACAGUAAUAUUUUCCUGAAUUUGCAGGAUGUGUAUUAUACUCUGGUUGCCUUUAACUAGCAUACUUAUUGAUGGUUGCCAAGGACUGAGUCAUUAAAUUCAUACCUUCUCUUCCCUGGAGACCGUCCCUUGUAAAUGCUUUUUUCUGUUCUUUUUUUAAAAAGUAUAUUAGCAGGUUUUCACAAGGAAGGCAGCUUACACCACUAGGGACUUCAAAUUUCAAGUCUGUAUUACAUGCUCGCCACUUUCUGAAAAUGCAAAAUACAUCUUUGUCUGUUUUCUUGAAGUUAUUUUAUAAAAUAGGUGGGGUUUGCUUUCUAAUUAUUUUUAAUUAUGCCUCUAUAGAAUUACUGCAAAUUUCCUCUGCUUGUUUAUCUGAAAACCCAUUUUGUGAAGUGAGGCUGUGUCCCCUGAUGGGCACUAUUUACAUUUUAAAGCAUCUAAACACAAGUCUCUUCUGCAGAUCCCCUCCAAUGUGGCCAAAUUAAUGUCAUUUCAAUUUUUGCCAUUCCACUAAAUUUCCCUAAUCAGUGAUAACAGAUGUUAUUUGCAUGUGCGAGUUCAUUAAUAUGUUACUUCCUUAAACACUCAAGCUUUAUCAAGAAAUAUAUCCCAGGAGUUCCUGUCGUGGCUCAGCGGUAACAAACCAGACUAGUAUCCAGGAGGACGCAAGUUUGAUCCCUGGCCUCGCUCAGUAGGUUAAGGAUCCGGCAUUGCCAUGAGCUCAAGGGCAGGGACCGAACCCGCAACCUCAUGGUUCCUAGUCGGAUUCGUUAACCACUGCGCCACGACGGGAACUCCGGAAGUACCUAGUUUUGGUACCAGCAGCAUAUGGAAGUUCACAGCUGUGGCUACAGGGAUCCUUAAACCAGGGCCGGGGAUGGAACCUGAGCCUCCAU